GGGGUACGAGAAGGCCGCUACACAGCGAUGUGAUGCCAAUCCCUAAAGCCCCUCUCAGUUCGGAUCGAAGUCUGCAACCCGACUUCGUGAAGCUGAAUUCGCUAGUAAUCGCGCAUCAGCCACGGCGCGGUGAAUACGUUCCCGGGCCCUGUACACACCGCCCGUCAAGCCAUGGGAGCCGGGGGUACCUGAAGUGCGCUGCCGCAAGGAGCGCCCUAGGGUAAAACCGGUGACUGGGGCUAAGUCGUAACAAGGUAAC
Molecule: ribosomal RNA, 259 nt
Filed under: uncultured bacterium
Lineage: Bacteria
Description: partial 16S ribosomal RNA
Rfam family: Bacterial small subunit ribosomal RNA
Source: RNAcentral